UAACAAGGUUUCCGUAGGUGAACCUGCGGAAGGAUCAUUGUCGAAACCUGCAUAGCAGAACGACUCGUGAACAUGUAACACAACACUUGGGUGAGCUUUGGGGCCUUUGGGUGCCAUUGUGAACCUAAUGGCUAAGCCGUGCCAUGUUAGGCAGUGCUUCAGCCUGUCUGGCAUGCACAACUUAGUCUAUGAACCAACCCCGGCGCAAGACGCGCCAAGGAAAACAUUAAAUGAAAAGGAGGGCACUUCUAACUGGUCCCGGCUUCGGUGCGCCGGAAAGAAUGUUGUCAUCCUUUCUUUAAAAAAACGACUCUCGGCAACGGAUAUCUCGGCUCUCGCAUCGAUGAAGAACGCAGCGAAAUGCGAUACUUGGUGUGAAUUGCAGAAUCCCGUGAACCAUCGAGUUUUUGAACGCAAGUUGCGCCCAAAGCCUUCUGGCCGAGGGCACGUCUGCCUGGGUGUCACGCAACAUCGCACCCAAUUCAUUAGGGUGCGGAAUAUGGCCUCCCGUGCGUUUAAUCUCGCGGUUGGCAGAAAAUAAUGGUCCUAGGCUGCGAAUGCCGCGACAAUCGGUGGUUGCAAGACCCUCGGGCAUAGUCGCGCGCGUAUGCUUUUGGAUAAGUAGACCCUUUUGCGUCCUUUGUGGCACGCUCACAUCGCGACCCCAGGUCAGCGGGAUUACCCGCUGAGUUUA
Molecule: ribosomal RNA, 694 nt
Filed under: Croton californicus
Lineage: Eukaryota; Viridiplantae; Streptophyta; Magnoliopsida; Malpighiales; Euphorbiaceae
Description: eukaryotic LSU rRNA
Rfam family: 5.8S ribosomal RNA (bases 309-464)
Source: RNAcentral